Echinops telfairi (small Madagascar hedgehog) is the source of this 920-nucleotide long non-coding RNA. RefSeq lists it as uncharacterized. The transcript has 3 exons. The record is from RefSeq and is a predicted model, not a curated record. NCBI's taxonomy places the organism in Eukaryota, Metazoa, Chordata, Mammalia, Afrosoricida, Tenrecidae.
ACCAGGGCCCCCAGCGGGGACACAGGAAGUCUUCCAAUAGUCAGCCAGCCCCUAUACGUCCACAGCUGUGGCUGGGUCCAGGCUUGCAGGGGGCGGAAGCCAGAUCCGGGAGCAGCGAGACAGAUCACUGGAUGAUGGACAGGGCAGCCGGCCAGCUGCAGACACAGUGGAACUCCCACAGGAGCAGGAAGGAAGCCGGGGUGUAAAUGGGAGCGCACACUUCCACUUCCGGUUACAAGGGAAUGCACCAGAGUGGAAACAGAAGGCCUUGACUUGCGCCCCCUUGUGGUCAGGAAAUCCCAACCUUAUAAACCGCUAUGUCCCAAAUGGCAUCUCCUAACUGGACAGCGCACAGACACCUCAUGGGAUUUCCCAGCUGGGCUGUGAUCACAGUGGACGAUAUAGAGAGAGACCUGUAUUUCCAUAGUGAUGCAGGAGACAGGGGAGGUUUCCAGAGACUAAGCAAGUAAUUGCAGUUCGCAAGAGGAAAACCAAAAUGAAAUUAGGCAGAAAGAAAGAGACCGGUGUCAACAAAGAAAGACGAGGUCAUAUUAUGCUGUUUCAGAAUGUCGCAAUGAUUGACAAGCAAUGUAUUGACGAGCAAUGUGGAGAGGACUGUGUAGAGGACAACAAGCUGUUUCCAGGACAGUUAACGAAGAGAUACUGGCCACCAUUCACGUGUAAUAUUAAAGAGGAUUUGAUGUCUCCUGCAUUGGCUAACAAGUGGCUAACACGUCUGAAAAGCUUAGGUCUGGGUGACGUUUCUGUCCAGAACCCCAAAGAGCCUUUUUUCUCCUUGAUUCAAAUGUACUUCCCUCCAGGAAGGAUUUUCCAAAAAACCAAACUCACCCCAGGGUGCCCGUGCCGUCUCACAGCAAGACUACAGGAUGGGAGAGAACUGGCCCUGUGAGUUUCUGAGA